This is a long non-coding RNA of Coregonus clupeaformis (lake whitefish), 1243 nucleotides long. RefSeq lists it as uncharacterized. The transcript is spliced from 2 exons. The record is from RefSeq and is a predicted model, not a curated record. NCBI's taxonomy places the organism in Eukaryota, Metazoa, Chordata, Actinopteri, Salmoniformes, Salmonidae.
GUGGAACUAACUGACUUUCAGGUCCAGAAAGCAGUGGAACUAACUGGCUUCCAGGUCCAGAAAGCAGUGGAACUAACUGGCUUCCAGGUCCAGAUGUGAAUUUGAGGGAAAAGGGGGCCAUUUGAGACACAGACAUGUUUCUAAACCAUAUUUUCCUCUGGGUGCUGAACUGGAGAGUCCAACAGCGUCUAACUGAGUCACUGGCUAUAAUGGUUAUUAUAAAAACUGUCUGGAACCAUGGAACCAUAGUUUAGAACUGGAUAGAACCAUGGAACCAUAGUUUAGAACUGGUUAGAACUGGAUAUAACCAUGGAAUCAUAGUUUAGAACUGGUUAGAACCAUGGAAUCAUAGUUUAGAACUGGUUAGAACUGGAUAGAACCAUGGAACCAUAGUUUAGAACUGGAUAGAACCAUGGAACCAUAGUUUAGAACUGGUUAGAACUGGAUAGAACCAUGGAACCAUGGUUUAGAACUGGUUAGAACUGGAUAGAACCAUGGAACCAUAGUUUAGAACUGGAUAGAACCAUGGAACCAUAGUUUAGAAGUGGUUAGAACUGGAUAGAACCAUGGAACCAUAGUUGAGAACUGGUUAGAACUGGCUAGAACCAUGGAACCAUAGUUUAGAAGUGGUUAGAACUGGAUAGAACCAUGGAACCAUAGUUUAGAAGUGGUUAGAACUGGAUAGAACCAUAGAACCAUAGUUUAGAAGUGGUUAGAACUGGAUAGAACCAUGGACCCAUAGUUUAGAAGUGGUUAGAACUGGAUAGAACCAUAGAACCAUAGUUUAGAAGUGGUUAGAACUGGAUAGAACCAUGGAACCAUGCCUGUCUGUCUGUCUGGCCUAGAUUGUAACACACUACAGUAAUCUCUACACCCUCUGACUAGAACACACACACACCGAUGACGUGAUGCAGAAUGUUUGGGAUUCUAGAGAAAACAUUAAUGAUCUGAACCACGUGUGUCUGUGAUGUAAUACACAUAAUACACGUCUUCGUGAUGAUGAAGAGCACAACUCUUUACUGAUGAAACACUCGCCUGUCUGAAGCUCUAAGCAGUCUAACAUCGGGCGCUGCUAUUGGCCCAUGAGCACAAAGGGGGAAUCUGAUUGGUUGUGGCGGUGCCUUGCUUGGUUUUCUAUGUAACUCUGUUUCUUGGCAUAUUUAAUGAAACUGUUUUUUCUUUUUCAUAAUGUGGCAUUUGUAUUUCAACCUAAAGCCCAAUAAAGCUUCACAGUGUAAACGUU